RNAcentral lists this ribosomal RNA (253 nucleotides) under uncultured bacterium. Its description in RNAcentral is "partial 16S ribosomal RNA". It matches the Rfam family "Bacterial small subunit ribosomal RNA", at positions 524 to 776 of the family's 1533-position model. The record is from RNAcentral.
UACGUAUGGUGCGAGCGUUAAUCGGAAUUACUGGGCGUAAAGUGUGCGCAGGCGGCCGCGCAAGUCGAGUGUGAAAGCCCCGGGCUUAACUUGGGAAUUGCGCUCGAAACUACGUGGCUGGAGUGUGGCAGAGGAAGGUGGAAUUCCAGGUGUAGCGGUGAAAUGCGUAGAGAUCUGGAGGAACACCGAUGGCGAAGGCAGCCUUCUGGGCCAACACUGACGCUCAUGCACGAAAGCGUGGGGAGCAAACAGG